This 468-nucleotide ribosomal RNA is filed under the name uncultured bacterium. RNAcentral's name for it is "partial 16S ribosomal RNA". It matches the Rfam family "Bacterial small subunit ribosomal RNA", at positions 28 to 507 of the family's 1533-position model. The record is from RNAcentral.
GACGAACGCUGGCGGCGUGCUUAACACAUGCAAGUCGAACGGAAAGGCCCUGCUUUUGUGGGGUGCUCGAGUGGCGAACGGGUGAGUAACACGUGAGUAACCUGCCCUUGACUUUGGGAUAACUUCAGGAAACUGGGGCUAAUACCGGCUAGGAGCUCCUGCUGCAUGGUGGGGGUUGGAAAGUUUCGGCGGUUGGGGAUGGACUCGCGGCUUAUCAGCUUGUUGGUGGGGUAGGGGCUUACCAAGGCUUUGACGGGUAGCCGGCCUGAGAGGGUGACCGGCCACAUGGGGACUGAGAUACGGCCCAGACGCCUACGGGAGGCAGCAGUGGGGAAUAUUGCACAAUGGGCGGAAGCCUGAUGCAGCAACGCCGCGUGCGGGAUGACGGCCUUCGGGUUGUAAACCGCUUUCGCCUGUGACGAAGCGGGAGUGACGGUAAUGGGUAAAGAAGCACCGGCUAACUACGUG